This 182-nucleotide ribosomal RNA is filed under the name uncultured Geobacillus sp. RNAcentral's name for it is "partial 16S ribosomal RNA". It matches the Rfam family "Bacterial small subunit ribosomal RNA", at positions 1205 to 1382 of the family's 1533-position model. The record is from RNAcentral. Lineage: Bacteria; Bacillati; Bacillota; Bacilli; Caryophanales; Anoxybacillaceae.
UGACCUGGGCUACACACGUGCUACAAUGGGCGGUACAAAGGGUCGCGAACCCGCGAGGGGGAGCCGAAUCCCAAAAAGCCGCUCUCAGUUCGGAUUGCAGGCUGCAACUCGCCUGCAUGAAGCCGGAAUCGCUAGUAAUCGCGGAUCAGCACGCCCGCGGUCCGUAAUACGUUCCGGGCCUU